AACGAACGCUGGCGGCAUGCCUAACACAUGCAAGUCGAACGAGACCUUCGGGUCGAGUGGCGCACGGGUGCGUAACGCGUGGGAACCUGCCCUUAGGUUCGGAAUAACUCCCCGAAAGGGGUGCUAAUACCGGAUAAUGUCUUCGGACCAAAGAUUUAUCGCCUUUGGAUGGGCCCGCGUUGGAUUAGCUAGUUGGUAGGGUAAAAGCCUACCAAGGCGACGAUCCAUAGCUGGUCUGAGAGGAUGAUCAGCCACACUGGGACUGAGACACGGCCCAGACUCCUACGGGAGGCAGCAGUGGGGACUAUUGGACAAUGGGCGAAAGCCUGAUCCAGCAAUGCCGCGUGAGUGAUGAAGGCCUUAGGGUUGUAAAGCUCUUUUACCCGGGAUGAUAAUGACAGUACCGGGAGAAUAAGCUCCGGCUAACUCCGUG
This 433-nucleotide ribosomal RNA is filed under the name uncultured bacterium. RNAcentral describes it as "partial 16S ribosomal RNA". It matches the Rfam family "Bacterial small subunit ribosomal RNA", at positions 29 to 507 of the family's 1533-position model. The record is from RNAcentral.